CCCUUAGAUGUUCUGGGCCGCACGCGCACUACACUGACACGUUCAUCAAGUCUAUAACCUUGACCGAGAGGUCUGGGUAAUCUUUUAAAAACGUGUCGUGCUGGGGAUAGAUUAUUGCAAUUAUUAAUCUUCAACGAGGAAUUCCUAGUAAACGCAAGUCAUCAACUUGCAUUGAUUACGUCCCUGCCCUUUGUACACACCGCCCGUCGCUACUACCGAUUGAAUGAUUUAGUGAGUACCAGGGACCGAGCGCUUUGGUUGGGUUUCCUUCCCUAGCGCUUGGGAACUGUCGCAAACUUGACCAUUUAGAGGAAGUAAAAGUCGUAACA
This 329-nucleotide ribosomal RNA is filed under the name uncultured eukaryote. RNAcentral's name for it is "partial 18S ribosomal RNA". It matches the Rfam family "Eukaryotic small subunit ribosomal RNA", at positions 1470 to 1796 of the family's 1831-position model. The record is from RNAcentral.